ACCCAACCCCUCCUCCCACGCUCUCUAAUGGACUGCAAGUCCAAUCCCGAGCCGAGUGGAAACCCUAGUUCGAUAGCCGAUGGUGCUGGUGCUGGUGCUGGCGUCGGAGAACCCAACCCCUCCCGUGAAUCCCUCGCCAUCGAGCCCGGUCGCGAUCCCCUGCUGGGGGAUGAAGCCAAUGUGUCCAACCAAGAUGGCUCCGAUAGAAAAAGUGCCGACUUGGAGCUCGCUGGAGAAGGAAAUGGCGCCGCUGCCGUGAAUCCAAAUGGGGCAAGGUCUAAAAGUCUCGAGUUGGGCUCUACCAUCGAUCGGAAGAUGGAAAAUGUUAGCUUGAUGGGUCCUUCUGAUGCUGCAGAUUCGAAAGAAGAUGGAAGUGGAGUCUCCAUGGCCGUCAAUGGCGCUCCUGUGGAUCCCGGUGUCGAUGUUAGUACCCAAAGAUCGAAGGGGGAUGGAAGCACUGGGGUUUCUUCGGCUACUGAUUCAAAAAUGGAGGGAGAAGGCGAUGGUGCUGAUAGCGGUGAGGAUAGCUGUGAGGCAGAAUCGGAGGAGUCGGAGGGUGAUGAUUCGUCCAGUGAAGAAUCCUCUUCUUCAAGCAGCGAGGAGGAGGAUGAGGAGGGUGAUAGUCAAGAUAGUGAAGAUAAAGAAGAUCAAGACGAAGAACUUGUUGUUGGUAGUGAUGAUGAAGAUGAGGUUGCGAAGAGAACGAUCAGGUCAAAACACGAGCUCGAGGUGCUACCUCCAGUUCCUCCACUUGAAGUAACCUUGGAACCGCACCAUCAAUUGUUGCCAGUGGGGACAAUUUCAGCUAUGCUGGGCACCAAAGUUAUUGUUGAGGGUUCAGUGAAUCACAACCCUCUUAAUGAGCGUUCUAUUCUUUGGAUAACAGAUACGAGGUCCCCAUUAGGACUCGUGGAUGAGAUAUUUGGACCUGUAAAAUGCCCUUACUAUGUUGUCAGGUACAAUUCUGAGAAAGAUGUCCCAGUUGGAAUCCGUGAAGGCACUGCUGUCUCAUUUGUCAUGGAAUUUGCCAAUAACAUUCUCAGUGUGAAGGAUCUAUAUAAGAAAGGUUAUGAUGCAUCAGGUGAGAAUGAUGAGGAGAUCACUGAGCAGGUGGAAUUCUCAGAUGAUGAGAAGGAAGCUGAAUACAAGAGAUCUCUGCACCAAGAAAAGAGAGGGGCUGAUGAUAAGAGAGAAGGGAAUCGACAGAAUGCAUCCAGAAGGAAAAAGACUAAAUCUAAGGGCACUGAGCAUCGGAAAGGCUUGAGACCUUUGCUCCCUCGUGGUCCAGUGGUCAUGAACCAGCUGCCACCUGGAGUUUCAGGCCCUCUGGCAUCUUUAGGUGCAAACAAUUCUGCUUAUGGAAGGGGUUCAUAUUAUUUGGGAGCUGGGAGUGCAUGUAUAAGUGCUUCUCCGAUAGUUCCAGCAGUUCCCCAAGCAAUUAAUUCAGGUGGUUGUCCUCCUUGUAUAUCUCACCAGUUUUUACAGCAGCAACCAAAUGCUAUUUGGGCUCAUGGUUUGCCACCUCAGCAGCGGCCAAAUGCUUUCUGGCCUUAUGGAAUGCCACUUUCACUGCAACAGCAGCCAAAUGCUGUUCAGGCCUCUGGAAUGCCACCACAGCAGCAGCUGGAUGCUGCUAUGGGCGGAUUUCAGAUGAAUGCCUCACCUAGGCGGCAGCUGAGAAGCCAUGUUCAUGAUCAGCAGCAUCAAAAUCAGGCUUCUAAUGGUAAUAUGAAUGUGAUGCCAUCUCAGCAGCAGCAGUUUGUUCCUCUAUUUGCAGCUUCUACCAACAUGUGGCCAUUCAGGCCAUUAAAUGUCUUUGCUGGUCCCGUGGCUCCUUUGCUGGUUGGGCGAGUUGGCAUUAGUCAAACAUCAUCUGGGCAAGGCAAUGUAUCUGCACAAGGAGGUUCAGGGCUAUGUAAUCGACAGAGUCACCCACAACAUUCACCAGCUAUUCUUCAUGCUGGGAUGCUGCCUCCACUGCAAUUCAAUUUUGGGAGUUCAUCUGUUCAUGGCAGAAAGCCUAAUGUGAGAGGAGGUGGUCAUUCAUGUGGCAGAGGUGGACGGAGGCGAAAAGCGUAGAUAUAUAUAUUGUUUUGGUUUGGAUGUUUUUGACUAUAUAGGAACCUGUUAAUGCAAUGCUUUAGCCAGUAUGAAGCAGCAGCAGGAGGCAGAGGUGGAAACUGGAAAGUGCGGUAUAACCAUGGGCAGUCAUGAUCUGGUAUGAGGUUAUUUUGAACACUUCCUCAUGCGGAAUGUAUAUUAAAAUUUUGAGCUUCUAGGUCCAGUUUCAGAAAGCUUCAUCAGUCCUUUUGAAUUUCUGAGACCGUCAAGCUCUUGAAGAAUGUAGGUUAAAUAUCGAAUUUGUGGAUUCAGUAUGUAACAGCUUCUUCUAUCUUAUUGAGGAGCUUCCGAGACUGCCAAGCUUUGAAGGAAUACAGGGUUAGAUUUAUGCCUGAACCAGUGAAGCUGUAUAGUGUUCCCGCCUUCAUCGCUUGUGAAUCCAACAUGCAUGGGCUGCAAGAAAAAUCAAAUGGAGCCAAGCAAAUUGGGAGGAUAAUGAGAAUGGAACCUUAAUUGGAAUGCAGGAACCUAUUCGCACACCUGAUGGAUAUCUCCCAUGAAGUGGGACAAAAAUAGCAAGGCUUCUGUCAAGUUAUCUGUGGACAUCAAAUCCAUUUGACAGAGAAUUAAGUCAAAGAAACUAGGAAAAGAAUGCAAGGCAUGCGGAUUAGAUUGCCGUGUGCAUCUUGAGCAACAGCAAGUUCCUUACAUCGGCGAUCUGAUGUCCCUUCUCUGUAGUGCAGUAGCUGCAUGGUGAAGUUGCGGAUGGCACCAG
Elaeis guineensis (African oil palm) is the source of this 2836-nucleotide RNA transcript. RefSeq lists it as uncharacterized. The record is from RefSeq and is a predicted model, not a curated record. NCBI's taxonomy places the organism in Eukaryota, Viridiplantae, Streptophyta, Magnoliopsida, Arecales, Arecaceae.